This 548-nucleotide ribosomal RNA is filed under the name uncultured Glomeromycotina. Its description in RNAcentral is "SSU rRNA". It matches the Rfam family "Eukaryotic small subunit ribosomal RNA", at positions 548 to 1098 of the family's 1831-position model. The record is from RNAcentral. Lineage: Eukaryota; Fungi; Glomeromycota.
UUGGAGGGCAAGUCUGGUGCCAGCAGCCGCGGUAAUUCCAGCUCCAAUAGCGUAUAUUAAAGUUGUUGCAGUUAAAAAGCUCGUAGUUGAAUUUCGAGACCGGCUUACUGGUCGUGCUAUUGUGCGUACUGGUAUAAUCGGUUUCUCCUUUCUGACGAACUAUAAUGCCAUUAAUUUGGUGUUAUAGGGAAUCAGGACUGUUACUUUGAAAAAAUUAGAGUGUUUAAAGCAGGCUCACGCUUGAAUACAUUAGCAUGGAAUAACGGAAUAGGACGUUUGAUUCUAUUUUGUUGGUUUCUAGGAUCGACGUAAUGAUUAAUAGGGAUAGUUGGGGGCAUUAGUUUUCAAUUGUCAGAGGUGAAAUUCUUGGAUUUAUUGAAGACUGACUACUGCGAAAGCAUUUGCCAAGGAUGUCUUCAUUAAUCAAGAACGAAAGUUAGGGGAUCGAAGACGAUCAGAUACCGUCGUAGUCUUAACCAUAAACUAUGCCGACUAGGGAUCGGAUGAUGUUAAUUUUUUAAUGACUCAUUCGGCGCCUUACGGGAAAC